RNAcentral lists this transfer RNA (71 nucleotides) under Ponticola kessleri (bighead goby). RNAcentral's name for it is "tRNA-Met". It matches the Rfam family "tRNA". From Rfam's summary of the family: Transfer RNA (tRNA) molecules are approximately 80 nucleotides in length. Their secondary structure includes four short double-helical elements and three loops (D, anti-codon, and T loops). The record is from RNAcentral. Lineage: Eukaryota; Metazoa; Chordata; Actinopteri; Gobiiformes; Gobiidae.
AGUAAGGUCAGCUAAUGUUAAGCUUUUGGGCCCAUACCCCAAACAUGCCGGUUAAAUUCCCGCCUUUACUA